UCUCCGUCCACUGCUUCUACUUCCAGUAAAAAACAUACACACAUUAGCCACAUAUCCACCUCUCCAUCUUUCUACACAUCAAAAAGCUUCCAUCGGCUCCAAAACCAUUAGCCACAUAUCCACUUAGAAACAUACACACAAGAAGCUUCCAUCGGCUCCAAAACCACGUCUCUCUCUAAAAGCAUCGACAUACAAGAAGAUCUUUAUCUUCCCCAUCUGUCUCUCUCAUCCGGUAUCCUUUCACCGUCUUAACAUAGAAAUUUAGACUCCACGUCCACCGCUUACCUAUCGUCGUCGAUGGGGUUGCUUCUACAGACUUUAAGAAUGAAGAUGUAGGCGCCGAUACACACAUUAACUCAAUCGUCUGUUUCUCAUACCCAUUUCACCUCAUCGGCGUCUCCUUCUCCACCGCAAAACCGUCGACCGCUAAUUUCUGCCCUCUUGCAAUCGACCACUGACUGGGAGAGGGAAUCUUAUUUUAUUCUAUCUUCUCUGUGUUUGCUCUUGCCGACGACUACUUCUUCAACGACGAUGAUGUCAACAACAUCGGCGAUUUCGGUGCUCCUCCUUGGAUUGUUUCAAUCGAUUUAGAAGAGGUCACAACAGCUGGAGAUCAAAUACGGGCUACAGAUCAGGUAAUUACUGGUUGGAUUCGAGCAUUCAGUUUUAGGGUUUAUUAAGGGUGGAUUCAUUCUCAGGAUGUUUUAAUGUUGGUAUGUUUUCUGAUUACCUUACGUUACCGUAAAUUGAUGUAGAUUUUAAACAAGUUUACUUAACUUUGUUCUAAGCUUUAAUAUUGGGUGUAUACUUGUGGUUUUGAAAGAAUCGAUAACCUCAGUUGCGGAGGUUUGGUCAUGAGGAACGGUAAGUAAUUAUGUCCUGUUUUGAAAGCAUGUGUAAUUUUUUGGCAGUUAUACUUUUUUGGUAAAAUUUGAAUUGAUUUUGUCUUAGGAUAACGAAGAUAUAGAAUUCUUGUAUGAUCUAUUUCAAAAGUAUGACAAUAUUUACACAUAAAGUCUCAUACGUUGCUUAUCUGGUCUUGAUUAGUUCUGGUUUUUUUGGGUGUUAUUAUUUGGGGUAAGAUAGAUAUGGGAAGGUAGGUAAUAAAAUUAUUGUCAGAAAUUUCAUUUAUUAGUGAAUCAUGCCCUUGCUGUUAGUUUUUAAAAACAAAAUCUUAUAUCAUAACGCUUCUCUUUCAUAAAUGGGUCGUCAUGUCGUGGUUUUUUCUUCUUCAUGUGUUAAUAAUUGUUGCUUCAAGCCAACUGUCACUUUAACCCAGUUUGCAAGUUUGUUCCAAAUUACAAAAUAAAGAAAUAUUAAUACAUGGUUGAUAUUUUGUAGUAAGUUCAAUAUGAUAGGAUUGUGCCUAAUAGUUUCCCUUUGGAAAUUCUCAUCUAACAUAGUAUUUGCAUGGAAAUUAGGUUUCAAGGUCCCCUUGAAUCAAAACGCACAUCACAAAAUGAAGGAACUAAUAUAACAAUAGCUUACAGAGCAUUGGCAUCUUACAUAUCAGUUCUAAGAACCUUCCCGGAUUCUGCAUAAGGGCAUCUUUAAUGUGGAUGACCAAAGCAUGGCUGAUACAUUUUAUAGAUGGAGAUCACAUAUUUAUCCUUGGUAGCAAAAGUGAAAGAGACACAAGUACCCAUCAUUCAAGCCAUCAUUAACAAAUUCUAGGCACAAGGUCAUACUUGGGGAAUAAAUUUUUACUGAAGGUACAAGAAAAUGGAAUCGUCUGCGAGUCCUGGAAGUGGAGGUGAUUAGGUGGAGUUUGUUGAACAACUUUAUGAUGCGGUCCCACCAAACAUAGUUAACGGUUUGACUCCAGGUCUAUCAAUGUAAUGGAUAUAAAUACAAGGAUUUGCAGUUGGAAUUCCUAGGUGUGAAAUGUUUUCGAAGAAUGCAAAGAAGGUAUACUAAGCAUUCCAUUCAUGGGUUUUUGCACAAAAGGGUUCUUAAAUGUAUGAAGAUUGAAAUUCUGCCCCUGCGGAGCAGGGGUAACCCUCUCGGUAUUAUUAUUAAUAUUAUUAUUAUUUUUUUUUUC
Molecule: non-coding RNA, 2041 nt
Organism: Lactuca sativa (garden lettuce)
Lineage: Eukaryota; Viridiplantae; Streptophyta; Magnoliopsida; Asterales; Asteraceae
Source: RefSeq, a predicted model, not a curated record